UAACGCAUGUUCAAGGUCGUUUAUCAGACGUUCGUCCGGUAAAAAUCCUAUUCCAUUCCUCCGACACAGUUAAAUUUUGGACGCAGUCAUGAAAGUUAUACGCUAUUAUCGUGUCGUUAUUAACUGAAGCGUGACUUUGCUUUUUUCCCCGUCAAUGAAGUAUUUCACGUGACAGAUGCGCCAAUCAAGAAAAUAUGCUUCGAAGCGGUGAAUCAUUUGUGAUGCUGAUUCUCCUCUGCUAUCCCACCCCGUGGACCAUCCGAGCUCUUUUUACGAUAGAUCGAAAGAUGUACAAAAAAAUGUUCGUUUCGAAAUUUCGAAAAAUGAGCAGAACGACCACAUAGCUCCGUGAUGGAAAUGCUGCUCAGCAUCUGAUUGAUUCAGACUUGCUUUGAACUUCUAAUUGCGGAUAUUCAUCAGCUCAUGUAGUUAGCCAUGGAGUUAUGCCAGUGUGAUAGACGCAAUAAUUACGUAUACAUGGAACGUGCGACAUCUAAGCUGACUCAUCAUCAAACAGCAGCCCGUUAAAAUGGGUCUUGCAACACGAUGAAGUUGAUACAUUGUUGAGAGUUAUAUUUGUGACUGUGUCAGGAAUUUUACUGCAAUUGUUAAGAAUAUUUCAUGAAAGGAGUUAUUUGAAAUAACAGUAGCAGUCGAUGGUGAAUAUAACAAUGAGCUCAAACUGA
Molecule: long non-coding RNA, 686 nt
Organism: Venturia canescens
Lineage: Eukaryota; Metazoa; Arthropoda; Insecta; Hymenoptera; Ichneumonidae
Exons: 2
Source: RefSeq, a predicted model, not a curated record